CCAUCCCUUUAUGGAAUCCUUGUAGCCCGUGAAAAGAGACAACACACUACGGGGGGAAAAAUAAUAGAAAUUCUGAACCGCCCUAACGAGACGGAAGAAAGUGACGAACAGACAGGCCGUGGGUGUGAAACCCCAGCUUCGGCAGAUGGAUUCGAAACAACUCAUGAACAGAAUAGAAUUUGGGGAUAACAUCCGGGGGGUUACUCCGAAGUAUUGGAAAACCUCGACAAAAAAAGGAGUAAAAGGGAAAGGUAAACCAAAAUCCCUC
RNAcentral lists this long non-coding RNA (268 nucleotides) under Manihot esculenta (cassava). RNAcentral's name for it is "long non-coding RNA (MESC_LNC006263)". Lineage: Eukaryota; Viridiplantae; Streptophyta; Magnoliopsida; Malpighiales; Euphorbiaceae. The record is from RNAcentral.